GCCCUUAAAAUUUGAUGAAUAACAUUAAAACACGGCCUUCUGUAUCUUGGACAUAUUUUGUCCAAUCGAGUCCAAACUAUACACAUAAGACAAGAGUCGCGAUCGGAAGACAUCUACCUAGAAAUCAUGACUUAAAAGGACAGCGCCCCCUGGGGGCAUUAGGAAAUGUCUUGUUUUGGUAGGUGUUACUCUUUGAUCUAUUUCUCCCCAGCCACUGUGCUAAACCAUGUCAAACUUUGUCACAUGGGUCUCAAGAUAUUGAUAAUGUAGGCAUAAUAUUACUGUGACUUUUCAUCAUGCGGAUUGUUAAUGGCGGGGCAUCAAAGUUCAUCAGCUCACCAUGACAAACGAAAUUCAUUUUAACGGAGUUACCAUGAACGCAUCAUUAGACCGCAUUGUUUUGGUCAACUCACACCUGGAGUUAUUUCUAUUCAGCCACUUUGCGAAACCAUUUCAAACUGUGUGAAAUGGGUCUCAAGAUAUUGAUAGUGUAGGCAUAAGAUUGCUGUGACUUUUCAUCAUGAUGAUUAACUGCUUGGCAGCUGAGGUCAUCAUCUCGACAUGAAAAACGAAACGCAAUUUAACACAGCUGCAAGUGAACGCAUCAUGACAAUCUCCUUCAGUAAGAGCUGAGUCUGUGGUGACGGUCCACUCACACAUCGAAUCAGUAGCACAGUUUGCUGUUCUGCUUGUUCAUCUGACGGACACGUAAAAGGCGACUGCUCUCUCGUUUCUGUGGAUGUCCAGCGUGAGACACAACUUGAAUCCAACCAGACUGAACACUGACUCCAGGGACAGACGAGCCUGAAGGACACAGCUGUGAUGACCAUGUUCUGUCUCUUAUGACAAAGCAGAAAUAUAAAACACUGGGUUCUUAUCUAAAGUGUAUCAAAUCAGAUCUCCACCAUGUUGCUGCUGAGGACAUCAGGUGCUGCAGUUCUUCAUCUAUGAAGAUGAAAAAACUCACUGUUAAAGAAUGUUUUGUGUUGUGUAUGAAGCACAACAGAUUUCAGAUAGAACCGUUGUACUGUGGUCUUGGUUUGUAUCCUCAUGGUUAAAUGUACAUAUUUUACGUCCCUUCUGAUAAAAGUACUGAAAGAAAUACAACAUUGUAUAAAUAGAUAAAAUGUCUUUCUACCUCAUCAGUAAUAUUCAAGGUGAUAAUCUCCCACAGAGCUAUUGAUAGAAGUCCACAUCAAGUCUCUCGACUUCUCUCAGUGUGAAAACAUAAUUAUAUCAUUAAUUUGAGAACUGUUUACAACACUGAUGUUUGGAGAUUAAAAUCAUAUCUAAACUGUCUAAUUCACUGUAAAACUCCAUGACAUUCGCAGGCCAUCUGUACUUAAAAGACGAACCUGGAUUGAUCUGUCCAAAAAUCCAAAAGUCUCCCUACCCUCUCUAGUGCCCCUGAGCAAGGCACCUCACUCCCCAAACAUCUGCUCCCCGAGCGCCGUACAUGGUCGCUGACUGCUCUGUGUGUCCUGCACCAGAUGGUAAAAAGCAGAGAUUAAAUUUCCCUACCUGCAUGAGUGUGCCUUUGCAUGUCUGUGCAUUUGUUUGGGACGAAUAAAUGGAUCUUAAUCUUAAUCUUUUAAUCUUGAUCAGUUGUCUUCCAGUUGACCAGCAUGACGCUGCAGAUCUCCACCAUGUUGCUGCUGAGGACAUCAGGAGCUGCAUUAAUGAGGAGCAGAAGCGCACUGUUAUGAAUGUUUUGUGUUGUGUAUGAAGCACCACAUAUUUCAGAUAGAACCAAUGUACUGGGGUCUGGGUUUGUAUCCUAAUGGUUAAAUGCACAUACUUUAAAUCGCUUUUGAUAAAACGUGAGAAAGAAAUACAACAUUAUACACAUAGAUAAAAUGUCUUUCUACCUCAUCUGUAAUAUUCAAGGUGAUGAUCUCCCACAGAGCUGUUGAUAACAGUCCACAUCAAGUCUCUCCACUUCCCUCAGUGUGAAAACAUAAUUAUAUAAUUAACUGGAGAAGUGUUUACAACACUGAUGUGUGGACAUUAUAAUCUUAUCUAUACUGUCUAAUUGACUCUACAACUCCAUGACAGACUAAAUUAACAAUGUGAAAAUAGUAAUGGUGGAUAUAUCAGCCUGUAUCAGAAUAAUGGUGAAACAGUUAUUAUCACAUGCAACGUACACGUGUAGCGUAUUGAUAGUAACUUAUUAAAAAAAUAAAUAAAGUCACAACCAAAACAAGA
Long non-coding RNA from Pleuronectes platessa (European plaice), 2205 nucleotides. RefSeq lists it as uncharacterized. The record is from RefSeq and is a predicted model, not a curated record. The transcript has 3 exons. Lineage: Eukaryota; Metazoa; Chordata; Actinopteri; Pleuronectiformes; Pleuronectidae.